Molecule: ribosomal RNA, 254 nt
Filed under: uncultured bacterium
Lineage: Bacteria
Description: partial 16S ribosomal RNA
Rfam family: Bacterial small subunit ribosomal RNA
Source: RNAcentral
UACGUAGGGGGCGAGCGUUGUCCGGAUUUAUUGGGCGUAAAGAGCUCGUAGGCGGUUUGGCAAGUCGGGUGUGAAAACUCCGGGCUCAACUCGGAGACGCCACUCGAUACUGCUAUGACUCGAGUCCGGUAGGGGAGUGCGGAAUUCCUGGUGUAGCGGUGAAAUGCGCAGAUAUCAGGAGGAACACCGGUGGCGAAGGCGGGUCUCUGGGCCGUAACUGACGCUGAGGAGCGAAAGCAUGGGGAGCGAACAGG